This is a long non-coding RNA of Daphnia carinata, 372 nucleotides long. RefSeq lists it as uncharacterized. NCBI's taxonomy places the organism in Eukaryota, Metazoa, Arthropoda, Branchiopoda, Diplostraca, Daphniidae. The transcript has 4 exons. The record is from RefSeq and is a predicted model, not a curated record.
GUGAAGUCGUGUAGUCCACAGAUCACACGAGAACGUUAAGAUUGAAAAUUACAUUUUGCUCUGUUUGAAAGAGUAAAGCGUGCUGGAAUAAUUUCACAAGGGGGUUCAAGCACUGCCCAGUGUUGACAUCAAAGAGAUUCAUGGGCACUGCAAGGCUUCGAUGUAUGUCUUGACAACAAAUAUGGAUUUAAUAAUAAGUGAAAUGCAAUACUAAAGGCACAAACAAUUCAGGCAGUUUAAGAGAGAUGUUUCAAUGGGUGUAGAACUACCACUAGAAGGAGUGGACGACCCACGACGUGAGUUUGCUUGAAAAGAUAAAUGUCUACGGACACUAGCUCCGUUGCUGCUAGUAGCUGAAGAAACGGUGGCUGU